GAGACCAUGAAGAACCCAGAUGUCUUCCCCUUGGCCCCCUGCUCCAAAGACCCCACCGAGGGCGCCGCCUCCGUGACGCUGGGCUGCCUGGUCAGGGACUACUUCCCAGGGCCGGUCACCGUGACCUGGGACACAGGGUCCCUGACAAAGAGUGUCAUGACCCUGCCCGUCGCCUUCAGCCUGAACUCCAGCCUCUACAUCACCAGCAGCCACGUGACCGUCUCUGGCGAGGGGGAUGAACAGCGGUUCACCUGCCGUGUGGAGCACCCCGGGUCCGCGCCAGUCAACGUGACCGUAUCCCCAGGGCCAUCGCCUCUGUCCUCAGCAUGCAAGGCGAACGUCACUCUGCCCAAGGUGAGGAUCUUCCACUCGUCCUGCGACCCCAGAGGCAACCCCCUCACCCCCAUGCAGCUGCUGUGCCUCAUCCCCGGCUUCGCCCCGGGCGACCUCAAGGUCACCUGGCUGGUGGACGGACAGCCCGGGAACCAGCACUGGGUCAUCAGCUCCGCCAGCUGGGAGGGCGUGCCGGCCUCCACCUUCAGCGAGCUCUACAUCAGCCAGGGCGAGUGGCUGUCCCGGAAAACCUACACCUGCCAGGUCAGCCUGCAUGGCUGCAAGGUUAAGGCUGAAGCCAGCGCCUGCCUAGAGCCGGAGCCCCGAGGUGUGAGCGUCUACGUGAUCCCGCCCAGCCCCCUGGACCUGUACGUGCACAAGUCGCCCAAGGUCACCUGCCUGGUGGUGGACCUGGCCAGCCUGGAGAAGAUGAGCCUGGAGUGGUCCCGGGAGGGCAGAGGCCUUCUGGCCCAGGCCACCCAGAACGCCAAGCGCCACUUCAACAUGACCUACUCCGUCACCUCCACCCUGCCCGUGGACGCGGGCGACUGGGUCGAGGGCGAGACCUACCAGUGCAAACUGAGCCACCCGGACCUGCCCCAGCCCAUCGUGCGCACCAUCGCCAAGGCCCCAGGCAAGCGUGCUGCCCCCGAGGUCUUCGUGUUCCCGCCGCCCGAGGAGCAGGGGGCCCAGGACACGCUCACCCUCACCUGCCUGAUCCAGGGCUUCUCCCCUGCCGACAUCUCGGUGCAGUGGCUGCAGGACGAGGCCCUGAUCACCAGAGACCAACACGUCACCACGCGGCCCCUCAGGAACCCGGGGGCCAGCCCCACCUUCUUCGUCUUCAGCCGCCUGGAGGUCAAACGGGCCGAGUGGGAGAAGAAGAGCAAAUUCACCUGCCGAGUGACUCACGAGGCUCUGGGCAGCUCACGGACCCGCGAGCAUUCGGUGUCCAAAGGCUCUGAGCUGGACCUGCAGGACGUGUGCCUGGGGGCGGCCGAGGCGGAGGAGCUGGAUGGGCUGUGGCACAGCCUCUUCGUCUUCAUCGCGCUCUUCCUGCUCAGCGUGACCUAUGGCGCCUCCGUCACCCUCUUCAAGGUGCAGUGGGUCUUGGGCGCCGUCCUGCAGGGGCCGCCCCAGGCCGCCCAUGACUACGAGAACAUCGAGGACACCGCGUGGCUGGCAGUCCGGGCACGAAGCAGCUGA
Non-coding RNA from Pipistrellus kuhlii (Kuhl's pipistrelle), 1539 nucleotides. The record is from the annotation of a RefSeq genome assembly. Lineage: Eukaryota; Metazoa; Chordata; Mammalia; Chiroptera; Vespertilionidae.